Molecule: ribosomal RNA, 150 nt
Filed under: uncultured bacterium
Lineage: Bacteria
Description: partial 16S ribosomal RNA
Rfam family: Bacterial small subunit ribosomal RNA
Source: RNAcentral
CGGUAGGCACCAGUGGGGAAUAUUGGACAAUGGCAGAGAGCCUGAUCCAGCAAUCCCGCGUGAGUUAUGAAGGCCUUAGGGUUGUAAAGCUCUUUUACCCGGAUGAUAAUGACAGUACCCUAAGAAUAAGCACGAUCUAUCACAGUACCC